This is a long non-coding RNA of Mytilus trossulus (common blue mussel), 170 nucleotides long. RefSeq lists it as uncharacterized. The record is from RefSeq and is a predicted model, not a curated record. Lineage: Eukaryota; Metazoa; Mollusca; Bivalvia; Mytilida; Mytilidae. The transcript is spliced from 3 exons.
CUGAAACAGAAGAGGACGCUAUAAAUUUGGAUGAAGCUCAAAGUGGACCUGAAGAAAUAAUAACAGAAAGACAGAAUAGAAGAUGCCCUGAUAUAAAGUUGAGCAAUACACAUGAAGAUGACACAGGAUCGAGUGAUGGACACAGCAUUGUACAUAAAUUUCCAAGGGAG